ACUAUUUCAUUUCCCGCAUCCCCUCUCCUCUCUGUUCGCUCCUCCAAUCAAACGAUCCUCCUUUCCCUUUCUCUGCUCCUCUAACCUUAGAAGCGAAGGCAGCGAGCUCUUUCUUCAAUCAUGCUCCAGCGAGCCAUCGCCGCUGCCGCCGAGCAAUGGAAAGUUUGAUCCGCAGGACCGCCUCUAACCUCCGCUUUAGAUAUCUCGUCUAAUUUUUUUCAAUGUCUCCAGGACCUCCCGACUUGUUAGGGUUUCUACACUUUGUCGUCUGCGCUCAGAUCUAGGGUUUGUAUACUGUGUCUCUAUCACUCUGGCAUCUCGUAUCCUUCUCGCUAUCUAUUCUCUCUUCAACUAAAUCAUCAUCAUUUCCUCUCCUUUUCUCCUCUUACCUCAGAAGUGAAAGACAGGAAUACUUUCAGUUCUGGAGACUCCUUUGAACGCUCUUUACAUACCUCAGCGGAUCAUCGCCGCUGCCGCUGAGCAAUCGGAAGUGUUUCCGCUGCCUCCAACUUCUGGUUCAAAAUUCCGUUUCGGAUGUAUCUAGGGACCGCCAAUUUCACUCUCGAGCCAGAGCCUUCCAGAACGGAACUAUUACCGGCUUUCACCGUUUGAAGACUCUCAAGGGCUUCGUUGCGUCUGCUGCGAAAACAUGUCAAGGAUUAUUAUACAAUGCAGGCAGAGAAUUGGCACAAGAAUGUGAGAUAGUGAUUUUCUUUCUACCAAAGCUCACAUGUUUGCUCAUUCUCUGCACAUUGACUUUGAAAAGGGUGAAGUUAAUCUUUGCACUGGUAUUUCUCUUAUUAAGUCUGACUUUGUUUGGCCUUAGGAUGAUAGCGCCAUUGCCAUGUUUCAGAAAAUAAGCAUCUCUUUUUUUACUUUUUGUGCUAUUAGAGAAACCGGAUCAAGUAUGUCAUUUUAAUGUGGCUGUAUUUUGGCUGCACAUGGAGUAAGUAUAUAAUCCCAUUAACUCUAAUUCAGUUAUUCGAUGAAUCGAUAUAUAUCUAAUCACACACACCUAAUCAAUCAGUAUAUACUGUUUCCUUUGUAUAUUCUGAUUUGAUGUUGAUUUUUAUUUACACAACCAGGGCAGGUUAUUUUAUAUACCCAAUUAAGUUUCCCAUGCAUCCAUCAUAUAUAUAUAUAAUAUUCAUAUUGAUUAUUUUUGGAAUGAGCGUUAACUUCUCUUUGUCCAGCAUACGCUAGCUUCUUCGGACCUCUUAUCUCUAUGUAUUUUCGUCUAUGAUUCUUUCUAGCUACCAGCUACCUGGGUAGCUGAUUUAUUGUUCGUUCCUGUUUUUUCACAUGUUUGUUUGUUCAAGCGUAUGGUAAGAUAUGCAUAUACUAAUUACCUUCUAUUCCCCCUUCCCCCCUUUUUAUUUGAAAUGAAGAUUACUUACUCAAAAUAAUCAGUUUCAGAACUUUAGGCAUUGAUAUUUUGGGAUUUGUUUCUGCCUUCUGGUAACCUAGCUUGUUUCUCUUAUUUAAUUGUUCUCAAUAUGCGGAAUUGCAGGCGAGGCAAAGCAUGUUACUCAUAUUUCCCCAUUUAAAUUUAGGCAGGAUUAUUUGGUUUGGUUUAUUUUACAAUUAUCAAGGAAUUCUGAGUUCCUUCUGAAUCUUUCCACACUUAAUCUCCAUCAUUCUGAAUUAUAAACCCAAAAAUAUGUGAAAUUCUGGAAUUUAAGUAUUUUUCUUUCCCGUCUUAAAAUGGAGGGAAAGAUGAGGGAACCAAUUCAGAUAGGUAAAUCUUUCGAUUUUCAAAGAACUUACAUUUCAUAUAUUUUGUAUUAGUCCUAGCUGUCUCAAAAUCUUUUAACUUCAAAGCUCGCCUCCAUGUUUUCUAUUUAAAGUGACUCUUGAUAUGUUCUCAUCCAUUAAGAAAUUUUUAACCUUCCUCCCUCUUCUUAAGAAAUUUUUAACCACUUAUAAGCCAAAAAAACUUCAUCUUGAGUACAUGCAUUCUAUAAGCGAAGUACUCUAUUGCCAGUGCAACUGUCCUUUGCUAGAUUAGAAUUUAUAAGGUGCUUAGUGCUUACAUUCCGCAAAUGCAAUUUGUAACUAACUUCAUGUAAAGGAUGACUUGAACUUCUAUACACACCUAUUGAAGGUCGUCGGUAAGGUGAUUUGCAUUUCAGCAUAACGUCACAGGGAGAUUAUUAUGUCUGAAGUAUCAGACUAUCAGCAAUCUGACAAGGUAAGAUUAAUGCUUUUCACUAUUCUUUAGGGGAUUGCUUGUGGAAGAUGACCAUGGAUCUAGGCUAUUUAGUUUUUAGUUAUUAUUAUUUUUUAUAAAUUUACCAAUUAUGAACUGUUCAAAGGGCCUCUGGUACAAGUCGUUGUGUUUGCCUUCUUUAUUUCAUUGCAUUCAUCGGAAGUAAAUGCAUUUUCUAGUUGGAGAGCAUCUUAGAGAAGUAAUGAAUGUCCAAGAAUUGGCCAUCUUUAUGAGGUUGAUCUCCGUAACUAAAUGAGUCACACCAUAUACCCGAUGUUAUCUGGAACUUUACCCGUAACAGCAAUCUGUCUUUUUACAUAACUGUUUUUUAAGUUGCGUAUGUGUAGUGUCGUAGAUAUAAUCCUUCUACUUAUUAUUAUAAUGUCUAAUUGUUGACUCAACCUUUUAGUUGCUCGAGGGAUAUGGGGGAGUAACCAUGGGUAAGUUCUGCUCUUUAGGUUCUGUUCUGCUUAUGGUUAUAUUAUUUUUUGUUGUAUGGCCAGUUUUAGACCUUUUAUUGGCUGUUAAUAUUGUGUUUAUUAUCAUUAUAAUUGGUAAUGUUGCCAUAAUAAAGUCCUGUGUCGAAGUAACGUUUAUUUAUAUGCUCUCAACGAAUUUCGUAAAGGAGUGACUAGCCUGGUUAUUAUACUUAUAUAGUACUUGAUGAAUAACUUUGCUAGGCCAGAUGGUCAAUUUACGUGGUCCAUGAGGGCUUAUUGAUCA
Long non-coding RNA from Tripterygium wilfordii, 2932 nucleotides. RefSeq lists it as uncharacterized. The transcript has 2 exons. NCBI's taxonomy places the organism in Eukaryota, Viridiplantae, Streptophyta, Magnoliopsida, Celastrales, Celastraceae. The record is from RefSeq and is a predicted model, not a curated record.